GGGGAUUUAGCUCAGCGGUAGAGCGAUUGCCUAGCAAGCGCAAGGCCCUGGGUUCAGUCCCCAGCUCUCCA
This is a non-coding RNA of Rattus norvegicus (Norway rat), 71 nucleotides long. Lineage: Eukaryota; Metazoa; Chordata; Mammalia; Rodentia; Muridae. The record is from Rfam.